GAUGAACGCUGGCGGCGUGCCUAAUACAUGCAAGUCGAGCGAACGGACGAGAAGCUUGCUUCUCUGAUGUUAGCGGCGGACGUGUGAGUAACACGUGGAUAACCUACCUAUAAGACUGGUAUAACUUCGGGAAACCGGAGCUAAUACCGGAUAAUAUUUUGAACCGCAUGGUUCAAAAGUGAAAGACGGUCUUUCUGUCACUUAUAUAUGGAUCCGCGCUGCAUUAGCUAGUUGGUAAGGUAACGGCUUACCAAGGCAACGAUGCAUAGCCGACCUGAGAGGGUGAUCGGCCACACUGGAACUGAGACACGGUCCAGACUCCUACGGGAGGCAGCAGUAGGGAAUAUUCCGCAAUGGGCGAAAGCCUGACGGAGCAACGCCGCGUGAGUGAUGAAGGUCUUCGGAUCGUAAAACUCUGUUAUUAGGGAAGAACAUAUGUGUAAGUAACUGUGCACAUCUUGACGGUAACUAAUCAGAAAGCAACGGCUAACUACGUG
Molecule: ribosomal RNA, 497 nt
Filed under: uncultured bacterium
Lineage: Bacteria
Description: partial 16S ribosomal RNA
Rfam family: Bacterial small subunit ribosomal RNA
Source: RNAcentral